Molecule: ribosomal RNA, 375 nt
Filed under: uncultured Anaerococcus sp.
Lineage: Bacteria; Bacillati; Bacillota; Tissierellia; Tissierellales; Peptoniphilaceae
Description: bacterial SSU rRNA
Rfam family: Bacterial small subunit ribosomal RNA
Source: RNAcentral
UACGUAAGGACCGAGCGUUGUCCGGAAUCAUUGGGCGUAAAGGGUACGUAGGCGGCUAGAAAAGUUAGAAGUCAAAGGCUAUAGCUCAACUAUAGUAAGCUUCUAAAACUAUUUAGCUUGAGAAAUGGAAGGGAAAGUGGAAUUCCUAGUGUAGCGGUGGAAUGCGCAGAUAUUAGGAAGAAUACCGGUGGCGAAGGCGACUUUCUGGCCAUUAUCUGACGCUGAGGUACGAAAGCGUGGGUAGCAAACAGGAUUAGAUACCCUGGUAGUCCACGCCGUAAACGAUGAGUGUUAGGUGUCUGGAGUCAAAUCUGGGUGCCGCAGCAAACGCAUUAAACACUCCGCCUGGGGAGUACGCACGCAAGUGUGAAACUC